Jaculus jaculus (lesser Egyptian jerboa) is the source of this 1072-nucleotide long non-coding RNA. RefSeq lists it as uncharacterized. NCBI's taxonomy places the organism in Eukaryota, Metazoa, Chordata, Mammalia, Rodentia, Dipodidae. The transcript has 3 exons. The record is from RefSeq and is a predicted model, not a curated record.
UGCAGGCAGGCGGCUCCCCUGCUUAUGACAGAUUUCAAAUAUGCGGAGCACGAUUGCAGGGCCAGCUUUCCCAGACCCAAGGAGCAAAAUGGGUGGGCUGGAAUGUUGGGUGAAGGAAAACGAACAAGAUAACAAGUGGAGGAGCUGAUGAGAACAGGAAGUGCCGUGCGGUGGGUACCGCGGAGGUACUGUGAGAAGACUGAGUGGAGAGGAGAGGCUCUGGAGCCCAGCCCUGGCUGCCUGGCAUCUCUCAAAAACCUGAAGCUCACCAUGUUGGCUGGACUGACUGGCCUGGGAUCUGCCUGUCUCUGUCUCCUCAACACUGCGAUGGAUUGAACAUUGUAGUGUGAAGUUAGGGCCUCAGAGUGUCAUUUAUUCACUUGGAGGUUUAUGUGUGCUGCAGUCAGCAUCACAUUGCUAUCAGAAAAACACACAAUCAAGAGCAGCUUAUGGAAGAUUCCACAAGCUCCAGACUCCAGGGGAAGCUCCAUGAUGGCAGGGGAAAAUGAAGGCAUGAGCAGAGGGUGGACAUCACCUCCUGGCCAGCAUCAAGUGGACAAUAGCAGCAGGACAGUGUGCCAAACACUGGCAAGGAGAAGCUGGCUAUAACAUCCAUAAGCUCUCCUCCAGCAAUCCAUCACCUCCAGGAGACUCCAAGUUGCCACCAGCUGGGGACCUAAGCAUUCAGAACACAUGAGUCUGCAGGGGACACCGGAAUCAAGCCACCAGAGUGUAUGUUACUACUGAGAAGUAAAAUCUGGGAGAUGGCAUGAGGGAUGAGCAGGCAAAUCUGUAUCUCGUGCCAGCGAACAGUGUGGUAGAGCCCAGCCGAGCCUGAGCUGUCACUGCUCAUAAUUACUGGGCCUCAAUAUGUCAUCCUACCAGGCACCAGAGGCAAGUUUAUGACUUUUUAUUCUAAUCUGUCAUUUUAGAAAAAGCAGUAAGAUAUUCGUACCAAUAAACCCUGAUUGAGAAGUGGGUCUUGGGCUGGAGAAAGGAGACAUCUCCUUCCAUGUCUGGAGAUGGGCCAUGGGCUUGUACUGGGAGUUGUAGCUACCUGUGGUCUGCUUCU